AGUGAACGCUGGCGGUAGGCCUAACACAUGCAAGUCGAGCGGCAGCACAGUAAGCGCGUGCUUCUAAGGGUGGCGAGUGGCGGGCGGGUGAGGCAUACAUCACAAUCUACUUUUUCGGGGGGGAUUACGUAGGGCCGCUGACGCUACUACCGCAUACGACCUACGGCUGGAAGCAGAGGAUCUUGGGAGCUUGCCCGAUUGAAUUAGCCGGUGCCGGAUUAGCUAGUUGGCGAGGUAAGGGCACACCAAGGCGACGAUCCGUAGCUGGCCUGAGAGGAUGAUCAGCCACACUGGAACUGAGACACGGUCCAGACUCCUACGGGAGGCAGCAGUGGGGAAUAUUGGACAAUGGGCGCAAGCCUGAUCCAGCCAUGCCGCGUGGGUGAAGAAGGCCUUCGGGUUGUAAAGCCCUGUUGUUAGGAAAGAACAGCUGCGUGUGAAUACCCCGCUGUUCUGACGGUACCCAAACAGAAAGCACCGGCUAACUUCGUG
This 492-nucleotide ribosomal RNA is filed under the name uncultured bacterium. Its description in RNAcentral is "partial 16S ribosomal RNA". It matches the Rfam family "Bacterial small subunit ribosomal RNA", at positions 29 to 507 of the family's 1533-position model. The record is from RNAcentral.